AAUGAACGCUGGCGGCGUGCUUUACACAUGCAAGUCGAGCGAGGCGGCCCGCAAGGGUCAGUCGAGCGGCGAACGGGUGAGUAACACGUGGAUUAUCUGCCCUGAGGUGGGGGAUAACCCGGGGAAACUCGGGCUAAUACCGCAUAACAACCGAGAGGUCAAAGGGGGCUCGCAAGGGCUCUCGCCAUAGGAGGAGUCCGCGUCCGAUUAGCUAGUUGGUAGGGUAAUGGCCUACCAAGGCGACGAUCGGUAGCCGGCCUGAGAGGGUGAUCGGCCACACUGGAACUGAGACACGGUCCAGACUCCUACGGGAGGCAGCAGUGGGGAAUUUUGCGCAAUGGCUAACGCCUGACGCAGCAACGCCGCGUGGAGGAUGAAGGUCUUUGGAUUGUAAACUCCUGUCAGCAGGGAAAAGCAACUUAGCCUAAUACGCUAGGGAGUUGAUUGUACCUGCAGAGGAAGCCCCGGCUAA
This 472-nucleotide ribosomal RNA is filed under the name uncultured bacterium. RNAcentral's name for it is "bacterial SSU rRNA". It matches the Rfam family "Bacterial small subunit ribosomal RNA", at positions 29 to 500 of the family's 1533-position model. The record is from RNAcentral.